CCUACGGGUGGCAGCAGUGAGGAAUAUUGGUCAAUGGUCGGGAGACUGAACCAGCCAAGCCGCGUGAGGGAGGAAGGUACAGAGUAUCGUAAACCUCUUUUGUCAGGGAACAAAGGCGGGGACGUGUCCUCGGAUGAGUGUACCUGCAGAAAAAGCAUCGGCUAACUCCGUGCCAGCAGCCGCGGUAAUACGGAGGAUGCGGGCGUUAUCCGGAUUUAUUGGGUUAAAGGGGUGCGAAGGGGGUCUGUAAGGUCAGCGGGCAAAGCCCGGGGCUAAACCCCGGCCAGCCGUUGAAACUGGCAGUCUCGAGUUGGAGAGAAGUAUGCGGAAUGCGCGGUGUAGCGGUGAAAUGCAUAGAUA
RNAcentral lists this ribosomal RNA (360 nucleotides) under uncultured bacterium. RNAcentral describes it as "partial 16S ribosomal RNA". It matches the Rfam family "Bacterial small subunit ribosomal RNA", at positions 338 to 696 of the family's 1533-position model. The record is from RNAcentral.